CCUACGGGUGGCAGCAGUGGGGAAUAUUGCACAAUGGGGGAAACCCUGAUGCAGCGACGCCGCGUGAGUGAAGAAGUAUUUCGGUAGGUAAAGCUCUAUCAGCAGGGAAGAGAAUGACGGUACCUGACUAAGAAGCCCCGGCUAACUACGUGCCAGCAGCCGCGGUAAUACGUAGGGGGCAAGCGUUAGCCGGAUUUACUGGGUGUAAAGGGAGCGUAGGUGGCAGGGCAAGUCAGAUGUGAAAACCCGGGGCUCAACCCCGGGCGUGCAUUUGAAACUGUCCAGCUGGCGUGCAGGAGAGGUAAGCGGAAUUCCUGGUGUAGCGGUGACAUGCAUCGAUCUUAGGAGGAACACCAGUGGCGAAGGCGGCUUACUAGACUGUACCUGACACUGAGGCUCGAAAGCGUGGGGAGCAAACAGGAUUAGAUACCCUAGUAGUC
RNAcentral lists this ribosomal RNA (440 nucleotides) under uncultured bacterium. RNAcentral describes it as "partial 16S ribosomal RNA". It matches the Rfam family "Bacterial small subunit ribosomal RNA", at positions 338 to 795 of the family's 1533-position model. The record is from RNAcentral.